Leucoraja erinaceus (little skate) is the source of this 3535-nucleotide long non-coding RNA. RefSeq lists it as uncharacterized. The record is from RefSeq and is a predicted model, not a curated record. Lineage: Eukaryota; Metazoa; Chordata; Chondrichthyes; Rajiformes; Rajidae. The transcript has 3 exons.
CCAUUACAAGUCCGGUUUGCUCAUACCUGUACUAUGUUCAAAAUGAUACAUUUUAUUAGUUUGUAUUCCCAUACCUUAGUCACACAGUUUGAUUCAACUCAAUUUUACAGAUUAAAUGUUAAAAAAUUGUUUUAAAGGGGCACGUAGGCACAUGAUUACAUUACUGGACCAGUAAUUCAGAAUAGGCAUGCCAACCAAGAUAUCCCAUCUAAGCUAGUCUCAUUUGCUCGCAACUGGCCUAUAUAGGUUUAGUAGGUAGGACAGGGAUAGAGAUCUGAUAGGAUAAACUAUGUUUACUUUAAUACAAGAAGCCUCAAGGUAAGGCAGAUGGAUUGACAUAGGGGGUUACGAUAUUGUAGUUACCGGUAUUUCAGAACAUGGUUGAGGGACGGGCAAGAGAGGCAGCUCAGUGAUCCAGGUAUCAACUCUUCCGGUGUAGUAGGGUCUCAACCCGAAAAGCCACCCAUUCCUUCUAUUCAGAGAUGCUGCCUGUCCCGCUGACUUACUCCAGCAUUUUGUGUCUAUCUUUGGUGUAAACCAAUAUCUGCAGUUCCUUCCUGCACAUUUUGUAUGAAAAUCUCCUCAAGGUAUGUCUACUUUGAAGAAGUUCUCCUCCUCUCUCCGAUGAGGGUUCUGUAACAUUCUCUCUCACUGCUCCCCCUCUGUGAUUCCUCCUGCUCACAGCUUACCCAUCCUUAUCUCUAUGUUUCCCUCUCCCCUGACUCAGUCUGAAGAAGGGUCUCAACCCGAAACAUCUCCUAUUCCUUCUAUCCAGAGAUGCGACCUGAGUUCCUCCAACAUUUUGUGUCUAUCUUCCGGUGUGACCGAAGUGGAGGCAAUAUCUAAGAGGAGGGGAAGUUGUACUAUUGAUUAGGAAGAGCAUCAUGACAAUAUUUUGGAGAUGAUAUAUUGGGGGUGUGUUUGGUGAGCCUUCUAAUUUACUUUAGAGAUACAGCGCGAAAACAGGCUCUUUAUCCCAGAGUCUGCACCGACUGGCGAUCAUCCCAUACACUAUCACUAUCCGACACACGAGGAACAAUUUUCAAUUUUACCAAAGACACAAACCUGUACGUACCUGAGGCAGGUUGUCUAGCGGGAUAUUGAUCAACUGAGAACAUGAGCCGGAAAACGCAGAGGGAAUUUAACUUGGGAAAGAAUGAACUGGUGCAUUUUGGGAAGUUAAGCUGGGGUGUGACAUAUAUGGCGGAUAGCAGGGCCUUUGGGAGUGUUGUUAAAUGGAGAGACAUUAGGGUACAAGAGCAUAGUUCCUUGAAAGUGCAGCACAGAUAGACUGGGUAGUGAGGAAGGCAUAUAAAAUGCUUGCCUUGUUCAGCCAGUAUGAAGUAGCAGCAGCUGCACUGCCGUACCAGUGCACCAUAUUAACUUGUCUCAAUCGUUUCAUAGGACCUCACUGCGUAUAAACUACUGCAGUGAUUGAUGUGGGGUAUGUCAAGACAUUUCACUGUCCAUAAGAAAUAUGAAAUACUUACCAUUUUAUAUAUUUUAAUUUCUAUUGAAAGGUUCAUUUCAAAACAGAACAAUUUGUUCCCCUUGCAAGGACGGAACUUACACAGAGGUGAAGAAUUCUCUGCAGAAGUGUCGCAAGUGUUAUGGGCCCUGCAUGGGUAAAGUCUUCAAAUACCUUCUUUAAUUCUCCAGUAAACGUUAACAAUUCCACCAGCACAUUAUCCUCUUGAAGACUGCGUGCACUUUGAACACCAACCUGUGUUCAAAGGCACAGGCGGUCUUCCCGCAAAGGGAAUAUAUAAAUGCUUGAGGCAAAGUCCACAAUUUCUAUUAAAAUUGAAUUAGAUUGAAUCUGAGCCAGAGCUUUCAGGUUUAAAGUUUGGAAAUACUUCUACAGGCAGAGAAGGAAAUUUGGCCUGAGCAUCUGUACCAGAAUUUUGAUAAGUAAAGUUUCCCAUGACAGCAUUAUCAAUGAUUCUCUCUGUACUGAGCAAAUGAUUACGAAUAGACACUUGAGCAAGGCUAUUUUACUUUGAUCUUGGUGCCAACCUAAUCUAGCAACCAGCUGAAAAGGCCUUCCGAUACCUGAAAAACAACAAGGCCUCUGGUGCAGACAAUAUCCCUAAAAUCUCUAAAACAUGUCAGAGAAGUUCUUCUGGCCUGUAUUAUUGACUGUAUCUCCCUCAGAGAAGAGUGUACCAUAGGAUUCUUGAGAUGCUGGAUUCAUGAUCAUCUUCAAGUGUUAAAGAUAAAUUCUCUGGAGCAGCCUGAGAAGCCAAGUGUUUUACUCUUACUACAAAUUUGACUGAACGAUGAGGAGAAGUCACAGGAAAAGUAUUUUUAAAUUCAUUUUCAGGGUCAGGGGAUCGUUGACCAUACCAGAAGCUAUUCCCCAUCCCUAAUAGGUUGUAGUGAGCCAGCUUCUUGAACCACUAUAGUCAUUCAAGUAAAGAUUGGGUGGCACGGUGGCACAGCAGUAGAGUUGAUUCCCUACAGCACCAGAGACCCAGGUUCGAUCCUGACUACGGGUGCUGUAUAUAUAGAGUUUGUAUGUUCUCCUGUGACCUGUGUUGGUUUUCCCUGGGAGCUUCAGUUUCCUCCCACUCUCCAAAGACAUACAGGUUUUGUAGGCCGAUUGUCUUGAUAUAAUUGUAAUGUGUGUAGGAUAGUGUAAAAGGCCUGUCCCACUAUACAAGUUUACCCAACAGCUUUCCCGAGUUUAAAAAAAAAUCGAACUCGUGGUAAGUACGUAGAAUGUACGUAACGGGUACGUCGGAGCUCGGGACAUCUCUUAGUGGCUCGUAACGCUAACGGCAGGUACGUGGGAAACGCGGUAAGUUCGUGAAGUUUUUUCAACAUGUUGAAAAAUGUCCACGAGAGCCCAGAGUACCUACGAGUGGCUAUAACCGUAAUUCUCCGAGUUCGAAUCAGAGGAAACUCGGGAGAACUCUUGAAUUACCUCGUACAGUGGGGCAGGCCCUUUAGUGUAUGGGGAUCACUGGUCGGCACAGAUUCGGUGGGCCGAAGGGCCUGUUUCUGUGCUGUAUCUCUAAGGCUAAACAAAAAAACUAUGUACCCACAGUGCUCUUUGGAGGAGGCAGUUCCAGGAGAUCAACGCAGCAACAAUGAAAUGUUAAUUAUAAAUUUCUAAGGCGGGAUGUUGUGGGACUUGAAGAUGAACUGGCUGCUGGUGAUGUUCCACACCCCUUUUACAUCUACUCUUCUUGGUGGUUGUUGUUGCAGGUGGCAGUGUCGAAUCAGUUCCAUGCAGCACAACAUCAAAUCGAAAAUGUGAAUGCCCUCUCCAUUAUUACUGUGCUACAGAGGAUGCAACAAAAUGUGAAUACUGUAAAAGGUGCGAUGCCACAAAGGGACCCCACAAAGGUAAUGAGGAUCACUACGGACAGGCAUGUUCCUGUGCUUCAGGAACAUUUCUGAAUACCACGAACAGCCAGAAAUGCCAGCCUCACACUAACUGCGCAGCUUUGAAUAUGACCAUUCGUGUUAAAGGCAACAGCACUGCUGACAACCAGUGUCAUUCAGCGAUUAAUUCUUCACAGAUAAAUAA